RNAcentral lists this long non-coding RNA (908 nucleotides) under Homo sapiens (human). RNAcentral's name for it is "HSALNT0076699". Lineage: Eukaryota; Metazoa; Chordata; Mammalia; Primates; Hominidae. The record is from RNAcentral.
UUCUAGCUCCUCUUCUCAUUAGUGAUGUAAUUCCCUCAGGAAUCUCCUCAUAAAGAAAGACAUCUGUUUCCAUUUUCUUCUUAGAGGAACAGGAUCUCUAUACAUCAUUGAAUAGAUUAGUGUCAUGAGUGUUAGCACUUUCCAUGAAGCACAAUCCCAAAGACCAUGAAAAAUUGAGAUCCGCAGAGGAGAGGAUGGAAAGUGUUUCCCCCACACCACAGGGUGUUUUACUGCUGCUGCUGCUGUUUAAGUUGCAUCUUUUCAACAAAGUUGACUCUCUCCCUACAAAGGAAAGUUUGUAUCAGCUACUGAGAAGACUUGGACUGGAACUUACUUCACCAGAUCUCAUGGUUCUUGGGCCUUCAGACUCAGGUUGGAACUAUGCUAUCAGCUUUCCUGGAUCUCCAGCUUGCUGACUACACAAUCUAGGACUUCUCAGCCUUUGUAAUUGUGAGGAACAAAUUGUUCUACAGAAAAUGAAGGAAACUCCAAAUGUUCAAGAGACUGGGGAUGAUAUAUGAAAGCUUUCACCAUUAGGAUAAAAAAGAGCAAGAAUAGCUCACAUACCAUGUGAACCACUUUUGGGAAUCAGAUGUGUACAUUCCAAAGUAAAAUGACUUCAGUGUAUAUAUACAAGGAUGAUAAAUGUCCUGCUGAGAACAGCGGCAAAACAACAAGAAGAACCACCGUAAAGCUCCUGCACAUACUUAUAUACUGAAUAGGACCAUGAAAAAGUGCUUAAGCUCAAACAGGAAUACUUCUAUGAUUAUGUGAAGAAGCCUGGGCUAGCCUGCUGAAGGAUGAAGGACCAUGUAGAAAGCAGCCUCAGCUAUUCCAGUCCGGUGGAGUUGACAGAUGAUUUUCCACAAAGUAAUGGGUAGAGCACUUACAUUUUCUCUUCCAUCAAG